RNAcentral lists this ribosomal RNA (254 nucleotides) under uncultured bacterium. RNAcentral describes it as "partial 16S ribosomal RNA". It matches the Rfam family "Bacterial small subunit ribosomal RNA", at positions 524 to 776 of the family's 1533-position model. The record is from RNAcentral.
UACGUAGGGUGCGAGCGUUGUCCGGAAUUAUUGGGCGUAAAGAGCUCGUAGGCGGUGUGUCACGUCGGCCGUGAAAACCUGCAGCUUAACUGUGGGCGUGCGGUCGAUACGGGCAUCACUGGAGUUCGGCAGGGGAGACUGGAAUUCCUGGUGUAGCGGUGAAAUGCGCAGAUAUCAGGAGGAACACCGGUGGCGAAGGCGGGUCUCUGGGCCGAUACUGACGCUGAGACGCGAAAGCGUGGGGAGCAAACCGG